Molecule: ribosomal RNA, 229 nt
Filed under: uncultured bacterium
Lineage: Bacteria
Description: partial 16S ribosomal RNA
Rfam family: Bacterial small subunit ribosomal RNA
Source: RNAcentral
UGCGCAGGUGGGCUUGUAAGUCAGUGGUGAAAUACUGCCGCUUAACGGUAGAACUGCCAUUGAUACUGCGAGUCUUGAGUAUGGUUGAGGUAGGCGGAAUGUGUUGUGUAGCGGUGAAAUGCAUAGAUAUGAUACAGAACGCCGAUUGCGAAGGCAGCUUACUAAGCCAUUACUGACGCUGAGGCACGAAAGCGUGGGGAGCGAACAGGAUUAGAUACCCUGGUAGUCC